This 253-nucleotide ribosomal RNA is filed under the name Segatella copri DSM 18205. RNAcentral's name for it is "Prevotella copri DSM 18205 partial 16S ribosomal RNA". It matches the Rfam family "Bacterial small subunit ribosomal RNA", at positions 524 to 776 of the family's 1533-position model. The record is from RNAcentral. Lineage: Bacteria; Pseudomonadati; Bacteroidota; Bacteroidia; Bacteroidales; Prevotellaceae.
UACGGAAGGUCCGGGCGUUAUCCGGAUUUAUUGGGUUUAAAGGGAGCGUAGGCCGGAGAUUAAGCGUGUUGUGAAAUGUAGAUGCUCAACAUCUGCACUGCAGCGCGAACUGGUUUCCUUGAGUACGCACAAAGUGGGCGGAAUUCGUGGUGUAGCGGUGAAAUGCUUAGAUAUCACGAAGAACUCCGAUUGCGAAGGCAGCUCACUGGAGCGCAACUGACGCUGAGGCUCGAAAGUGCGGGUAUCGAACAGG